Molecule: ribosomal RNA, 268 nt
Filed under: uncultured prokaryote
Description: partial 16S ribosomal RNA
Rfam family: Bacterial small subunit ribosomal RNA
Source: RNAcentral
CAGCAGCCGCGGUAAUACGGAGGGAGCUAGCGUUGUUCGGAAAUACUGGGCGUAAAGCGCACGUAGGCGGCGCAGCAAGUCAGGGGUGAAAUCCCGGGGCUCAACCUCGGAACUGCCCUUGAAACUGCAGUGCUAGAAUCUUGGAGAGGCGAGUGGAAUUCCGAGUGUAGAGGUGAAAUUCGUAGAUAUUCGGAAGAACACCAGUGGCGAAGGCGACUCGCUGGACAAGUAUUGACGCUGAGGUGCGAAAGCGUGGGGAGCAAACAGG